This 422-nucleotide ribosomal RNA is filed under the name uncultured bacterium. RNAcentral's name for it is "partial 16S ribosomal RNA". It matches the Rfam family "Bacterial small subunit ribosomal RNA", at positions 360 to 775 of the family's 1533-position model. The record is from RNAcentral.
AAUUUUGGACAAUGGGGGAAACCCUGAUCCAGCCAUCCCGCGUGUAUGAUGAAGGCCUUCGGGUUGUAAAGUACUUUUGGCAGAGACGAAAGGGAUCUCCUCAUACGAGAUACGGCUGCCGGUAUCUGCAGAAACAGCUCCGGCUAACUACGUGCCAGCGGCCGCGGGAAUUCGUAGGGUGCAAGUGUUAAACGGAAUUACUGGGCGUAAAGCGUGUGUAGGCGGUUCGGAAAGAAAGAUGUGAAAUCCCAGGGCUCAACCUUGGAACUGCAUUUUUAACUGCCGAGCUAGAGUAUGUCAGAGGGGGGUAGAAUUCCACGUGUAGCAGUAAAAGGCGUAGAUAUGUGGAGGAAUACCGAUGGCGAAGGCAGCCCCCUGGGAUAAUACUGACGCUCAGACACGAAAGCGUGGGGAGCAAACAG